GUAGUAACAGAGGGUUUGAUCCUGGCUCAGAUUGAACGCUGGCGGGAUGCUUUACAUGAUGCAAGUCGAACGGCAGCACGGACUUCGGUCUGGUGGCGAGUGGCGAACGGGUGAGUAAUGUAUCGGAACGUGCCUAGUAGCGGGGGAUAACUACGCGAAAGCGUAGCUAUUACCGCAUACGCCCUUCGGGGGAAAGCGGGGGACCUUCGGGCCUCGCACUAUUAGAGCGGCCGAUAUCGGAUUAGCUAGUUGGUGGGGUAACGGCCACCAAGGCGACGAUCCGUAGCUGGUUUGAGAGGACGACCAGCCACACUGGGACUGAGACACGGCCCAGACCUCCUACGGGAGGCAGCAGUGGGGAAUUUUGGACAAUGGGGAAACCCUGAUCCAGCCAUCCCGCGUGCGAUGAAGGCCUUCGGGUUGUAAAGCACUUUUUGGCAGGAAAGAAACGGCACGGAUAAUACCCGUGCAACUGACGGUACCUGCAGAAUAAGCACCGGGCUAACCACGCCAGCAGCCGCGGUAAUACGUAGGGUGCAAGCGUUAACGUGGAAUUACUGGGCGCAAGCGUGCGCAGGCGGUUCGGAAAGAAAGAUGUGAAAUCCCAGAGCUUAACUUUGGAACUGCAUUUUUAACUACCGAGCUAGAGUGUGUCAGAGGAGGUGAAUCUUAUGCGUAGCAGUGAAAUGCGUAGAUAUGCGGAGGAACACCGAUGGCGAAGGCAGCUCUGGGAUAAUACGAUUAUCGCUCAUGCACGAAAGCGUGGGGAGCAAACAGAUUAGAUACCCUGGUAGUCCACGCCCUAAACGACGUCAACUAGCUGUUGGGCCUUUCGGGCCUUGCAGCGUGUUAACGCGUGAAGUUGACCGCCUGGGGAGAGCGGUCGCAAGAUUAAAACUCAAAGGAAUUGACGGGGACCCGCACAAGCGGUGGAUGAUGUGGAUUAAUUCGAUGCAACGCGAAAAACCUUACCUACCUGACAUGUCUGGAAUCCCGAAGAGAUUUGGGAGUGCUCGCAAGAGAACCGGAACACAGGUGCUGCAUGGCUGCUGCCAGUCGUGUCAGAGAUGUUGAAGGUUCCGGCAACGAGCGCAACCCUUUGCCAGUUUAGUUGCUGCUUUUGAAAGGGCACUCGACGAGACUGCCGGUGACAAACCGGAGGAAGGUGGGGAUGACGUCAAGUCCUCAUGGCCCUUAUGGGUAGGGCUUCACACGUCAUACAAUGGUCGGGACAGAGGGUCGCCAACCCGCGAGGGGGAGCCAAUCCCAGAAACCCGAUCGUAGUCCGGAUCGCAGUCUGCAACUCGGACUGCGUGAAGUCGGAAUCGCUAGCAAUCGCGGAUCAGCAUGUCGCGGAAUUACGUUCCGUCUGUACACACCGCCCGUCACACCAUGGGAGUGGUCGGCUAGAAGUGGAAGGCUCAACCGUGCGAGUGGCGAUUACCACGGUAGGAUCUAUGACUGGGGUGAAGUCGUAACAAGGUAGU
RNAcentral lists this ribosomal RNA (1487 nucleotides) under uncultured Bordetella sp. RNAcentral describes it as "partial 16S-23S ribosomal RNA intergenic spacer". It matches the Rfam family "Bacterial small subunit ribosomal RNA". The record is from RNAcentral. Lineage: Bacteria; Pseudomonadati; Pseudomonadota; Betaproteobacteria; Burkholderiales; Alcaligenaceae.